GCUCCAUCACUCCCCUGCCCCAAUCUUACCUCCUUUUACUUCACGCCACCUCCAAACCCCACCCGCCCCUUCCCGCCCUGUCAAAAUCCAGGAAAGACAGGAAGGAAGGAAAGAAGGAAGAAAGAGAAAGGGAGGUAAAGAAAAAGGGGGAAAGAAGGAAAGUUAGAGAAGAAGAAGAAAAGGAAAGAAAAGGAAAGAUGGAAGGAAAGAAAAGAGAGACAGCAGAAGAGAAAGAAAAAGGGGGAAGGAAGGAAAGAGAGAAGGAAAGAAAAAAGGGAAUGAAAGAAGGAAAGAGGGAGUGAAGGAAGGGGGAAGAUGUAGAGAAAGAGGGAGGGUAAGGAAAGAAGGAAAGAGAGAAGGAAGAAAAGAGACCAGAAGAGAAAGAAAAAGGGGGAAGGAAGGAAAGAGAUAGAGAAGGAAGAGGAGAAGGAAAGAUGGGAGGGAAGGAAGGAAGGAAGGAGGGAAAGAAGGAGAGAAAGAGGGAAGGUUGGCCACAGCAACACGUGGCGGGUAAAGGUUGUUAUUUCUAUUAUUAUUAUUAUGCUAUUAUUCCUAUUAGACCCUGGGGGAAUGGGAGAGGUGUCAGGUCCCAGAGGCAAUGCAUUGCAUUAUUGUUAUUGUUAUGAUGGUGGUGAAAUAAAAGGAAAUAAAAAGUGAAGGAAGGAAGCAAACAGGGAGGGAAGAAAGGCAAAGGAAGAAAGGGGGAGGGAAUGAAGGAAAGAGAGAAGGAUGAAACCAAGUAGUGAAAGAAGGAAAGAAAGAAAGAGGUAGAGAAGGAAGAAAGGAGAGAAAGGG
Anolis sagrei ordinatus is the source of this 795-nucleotide non-coding RNA. NCBI's taxonomy places the organism in Eukaryota, Metazoa, Chordata, Lepidosauria, Squamata, Anolidae. The record is from RefSeq and is a predicted model, not a curated record.